UACAGAGGGGGCAAGCGUUAUUCGGAAUUAUUGGGCGUAAAGGGCGCGUAGGCGGCUUGGCAAGUGGAUGGUGAAAUCCCUCGGCUUAACCGAGGAACUGCCGUCCAAAACUGCUUCGCUUGAGACCGGGAGAGGUGAGUGGAAUUCCCAGUGUAGCGGUGAAAUGCGUAGAUAUUGGGAGGAACACCAGUGGCGAAGGCGGCUCACUGGACCGGUACUGACGCUGAGUGCGCGAAAGCGUGGGGAGCAAACGGG
RNAcentral lists this ribosomal RNA (255 nucleotides) under uncultured bacterium. Its description in RNAcentral is "partial 16S ribosomal RNA". It matches the Rfam family "Bacterial small subunit ribosomal RNA", at positions 524 to 776 of the family's 1533-position model. The record is from RNAcentral.